GCCCCCAUCGUCUAGCGGCCUAGGAUAUCGCCCUUUCAAGGCGGUGACGCGGAUUCGAAUUCCGCUGGGGGCACCA
This 76-nucleotide transfer RNA is filed under the name Pseudomonadota bacterium. Its description in RNAcentral is "tRNA-Glu". It matches the Rfam family "tRNA". From Rfam's summary of the family: Transfer RNA (tRNA) molecules are approximately 80 nucleotides in length. Their secondary structure includes four short double-helical elements and three loops (D, anti-codon, and T loops). The record is from RNAcentral. RNAcentral also lists the same sequence under 3 other names. Lineage: Bacteria; Pseudomonadati; Pseudomonadota.